Molecule: ribosomal RNA, 253 nt
Filed under: uncultured bacterium
Lineage: Bacteria
Description: partial 16S ribosomal RNA
Rfam family: Bacterial small subunit ribosomal RNA
Source: RNAcentral
UACAGAGGGUGCAAGCGUUAAUCGGAAUGACUGGGCGUAAAGGGCGAGUAGGCGGUUAUAUAGGUGUGGUGUGAAAGACACGGGCUCAACCUGUGAGUGUCACCGCAAACGGUAUGACUAGAGAGCAGUAGAGGGGAGUGGAAUUUCCGGAGGAGCGGUGAAAUGCGUAGAUCUCGGAAGGAACACCAGUGGCGAAGGCGACUCCCUGGACUGCAACUGACGCUGAGGCGCGAAGGCGUGGGGAGCAAACAGG